GCUCAUCAAGUUGUGCUGUUCUGUUUCUAGAUGGUGGAUUUGGGUGUCCUGUGAAGCAAUGCCUCGUGGUCCAAAAGCGAACAUGUCUGGUAAGUCACUUCUUAAACUUGGGAAGUAGGCCAGGCCUUCAAGUGUGAACAGGAGAUGGUGCGAAUUGACUUGCGUAGUAGCCCAGGUCUUCAGGUGUGAGCAGGAGAUGGUGUGAAUUGACUUGAACAGUAGCCCAGGUCUUCGGGUGUGAACAGGAGAUGGUGUGAAUUGACUUGAACAGUAGCCCAGGUCUUCAGGUGUGAACAGGAGAUGGUGUGAAUUGACUUGAACAGUAGCCCAGGUCUUCAGGUGUGAACAGGAGAUGGUGUGAAUUGACUUGAACAGUAGCCUGGGUCUUUAAGUGUGGGCAGGAGAUGGUGUGUUUGGGUCUAUGGACACCUUUGAGAGGGUUCUCUUCACAAGGCUAAUGGCUCUGUUAGCUAUUCUACCUUGUGAAGGCUAGUCCCUUCUAGAACCAGCAGGGCUUAGUGUACAUGGGGUUGGAUAAGCCUGAAGCUCCGCUUUUGCUGUUAAACCUGAAACAUAGUAGGAGCUCUGCGCUGAGCCAGGACAGCC
Acomys russatus (golden spiny mouse) is the source of this 606-nucleotide long non-coding RNA. RefSeq lists it as uncharacterized. The record is from RefSeq and is a predicted model, not a curated record. The transcript has 4 exons. Lineage: Eukaryota; Metazoa; Chordata; Mammalia; Rodentia; Muridae.